ACGUAGGUGGCAAGCGUUGUCCGGAAUUAUUGGGCGUAAAGCGCGCGCAGGCGGAUCAGUCAGUCUGUCUUAAAAGUUCGGGGCUUAACCCCGUGAUGGGAUGGAAACUGCUGAUCUAGAGUAUCGGAGAGGAAAGUGGAAUUCCUAGUGUAGCGGUGAAAUGCGUAGAUAUUAGGAAGAACACCAGUGGCGAAGGCGACUUUCUGGACGAACACUGACGCUGAGGCGCGAAAGCCAGGGGAGCGAACGG
Molecule: ribosomal RNA, 250 nt
Filed under: uncultured bacterium
Lineage: Bacteria
Description: partial 16S ribosomal RNA
Rfam family: Bacterial small subunit ribosomal RNA
Source: RNAcentral